This 253-nucleotide ribosomal RNA is filed under the name uncultured bacterium. RNAcentral's name for it is "partial 16S ribosomal RNA". It matches the Rfam family "Bacterial small subunit ribosomal RNA", at positions 524 to 776 of the family's 1533-position model. The record is from RNAcentral.
UACAGAGGGUGCGAGCGUUAAUCGGAAUUACUGGGCGUAAAGCGUGCGUAGACGGUUAUUUAAGUCGGGUGUGAAAGCCCCGGGCUCAACCUGGGAAUUGCAUUCGAGACUGAAUAGCUAGGGUACGGUAGAGGGAAGCGGAAUUUCCGGUGUAGCGGUGAAAUGCGUAGAUAUCAGGAGGAACACCGGUGGCGAAGGCGGUUCUCUGGGCCUUACCUGACGCUGAGGAGCGAAAGCGUGGGGAGCGAACAGG